Molecule: ribosomal RNA, 203 nt
Filed under: uncultured Chlamydiales bacterium
Lineage: Bacteria; Pseudomonadati; Chlamydiota; Chlamydiia; Chlamydiales
Description: partial 16S ribosomal RNA
Rfam family: Bacterial small subunit ribosomal RNA
Source: RNAcentral
CAACACUGGGACUGAGAACUCCCCAGACUUCUACGGGAGGCUGCAGUCGAGAAUCAUUCGCAAUGGGCGAAAGCCUGACGAAGCGACGCCGUGUGUGUGAUGAAGGCCUUCGGGUUGUAAAGCUCUUUCGCUAGGGAACAAGAGACAGCGGCUAAUAUCUGUUGAAUUUGAGAGUACCAUGUAAAGAAGCACCGGCUAACUCC